GAUGAACGCUAGCGGCAGGCUUAACACAUGCAAGUCGAGGGGUAACAGGGAAGAGCUUGCUUUUCCGCUGACGACCGGCGCACGGGUGAGUAACGCGUAUAGAACCUACCUUUUACAGGGGAAUAGCCCAGAGAAAUUUGGAUUAAUGCCCUAUAGUAUUAUUGAAUGGCAUCAUUUAGUAAUUAAACAUUUAUGGGUAAAAGAUGGCUAUGCGUUCUAUUAGCUAGAUGGUAAGGUAACGGCUUACCAUGGCAACGAUAGAUAGGGGUCCUGAGAGGGAGAUCCCCCACACUGGUACUGAGACACGGACCAGACUCCUACGGGAGGCAGCAGUGAGGAAUAUUGGACAAUGGAGGCAACUCUGAUCCAGCCAUGCCGCGUGCAGGAAGACGGCCCUAUGGGUUGUAAACUGCUUUUAUACGGGAAGAAACCCAACUACGUGUAGUUGGCUGACGGUACCGUAAGAAUAAGCACCGGCUAACUCCGUGCCAGCAGCCGCGGUAAUACGGAGGGUGCAAGCGUUAUCCGGAAUCAUUGGGUUUAAAGGGUCCGUAGGCGGGCUAAUAAGUCAGGGGUGAAAUCCAACAGCUUAACUGUUGAACUGCCUUUGAUACUGUUAGUCUUGAAUUAUAUGGAAGUAGAUAGAAUGUGUAGUGUAGCGGUGAAAUGCUUAGAGAUUACACAGAAUACCGAUUGCGAAGGCAGUCUACUACGUAU
This 717-nucleotide ribosomal RNA is filed under the name Lutibacter sp. RNAcentral's name for it is "bacterial SSU rRNA". It matches the Rfam family "Bacterial small subunit ribosomal RNA", at positions 28 to 736 of the family's 1533-position model. Lineage: Bacteria; Pseudomonadati; Bacteroidota; Flavobacteriia; Flavobacteriales; Flavobacteriaceae. The record is from RNAcentral.